CUCCUCUCUUCUCCUCUCCUGCCGGCUGUGGGCUCCCGACUGCUCGGCCCAUGCGGCUGCUCGGUUCCAGUUCCAAGGUCCAGCGGUGGCCAGACUAGCCUGGCACACUAGGUAGCAAGUCCCCCACCCCCUCCCGCUCUGCCCCAGUCCCCCAUCCUCUCCUGGAUAUGUAGUGAAACCUGAUUGUGCGGCUGCCAUCCUGAUUUUGCUGACACCCCAGCACUUCCUGGGCGAGUCCCUGCUGCCAUUAAUGGUCAUUAAGCAAGUGCCGUUUUGCCCAUUGCUGUCACUUGCCGUAACUCCAAGCCGAUCGCCCUGCACCCAAGUCUUGAGCGUGCAACCCUGGAGAUGCUGCUACAGUCAUAUGUGCGAGGACCCGUGAUACAUCACACUUUUCAGUACCAUUGGAAGUGUAGGCACAGCGAGUAUCUCCCUCGUUUGGAUGUGUCAGAAGAAAGAGACAGUUCCCAUUGAGGCAGAAUUAGGGGGCGAGACUAGAAAUGUGGGGCUCAAUCCCGGAUCACAGUGGUGCUGAUACCUGCCGUGUUAGCAGCCUCCGUUCCUGUGGACAAACUGCCAAUCCACCAUCUCAAAGCUCAAGGCAGUGAACAUACCGAAGACUCCUUCGUCCCUACAACAACAAGCUUGUGAGACAGGUCAGCAACAGGGAAGAAACGGCCCUAAAGUGAAUAUCCCUGGGCUAUCUCUCUGUGGCCAGUGAUGGUUAAGCAGUCAAGAGAUGCCUUUGACCUUCAGACCCAGGAAUUCAAGAGACAAACAAUGGAUGAAAGAGCAGCACACUUGCCUCAAGAAGACGGUCGAUCAACUAAAGAGCACAACAAAAAAGUGGCAGAAAACUGCUGGACAAAAGAGAAAGGUUGGAGCGUGCCACCACCAUGAUCCCUCAGCGAGGGCUAAAGAUCAAAUAUUUGGUGAAACACACUGAAGAACUGCACAAAGAACGCUGCAGGUCAGCAGCCAAGCGGCCUUUCUCAAAUAUGAGAAGGCUGCCUUAGAACCUUUGAGAAGAGGUCUCGAAGAAGUCUGGAACCUUCUUAAGAACUGAAGAAGCACCUCUAAAGUCUGCAGCAUGAACAGGUUGAGACGGGCCAAAGUUACUAUGUGGAGAAAAGCCACUCCAGCCAACUGAUGCAGAAAGUCAGUCCUCUUCAGCAGAAUUUGAGGGAAAAAAAGAAGCAAGUCAACAAUCUACAGCAGCAACAGCAGCCGCCGCAGAGCUAUGCUUCCCAGGCUACAGUUGGAGACCUGUGGAAAGCCGAGGAGGACAACGGAGAAGGACUGAACCAUGUCAAAAUGACAAUGCAAGAAUUAGAGCUGCAGACCAGGUGUUUCGAGAAAGACAGUGAAGAUCUCCACAGGGAGGUCCCCAGCCAAGUGGCCUUCUUCAGAAAUGGUUUUGGCGCUCCUAAGC
Molecule: long non-coding RNA, 1432 nt
Organism: Crotalus tigris (Tiger rattlesnake)
Lineage: Eukaryota; Metazoa; Chordata; Lepidosauria; Squamata; Viperidae
Exons: 3
Source: RefSeq, a predicted model, not a curated record